UGACAGCUUUUUCAUUAACAUCCACGACCAAUUUCACUACUUUCUAGCCUCCAUACUCUCAGUGAAACAAUAACCUCUCAGCCUUCAGUUGAAAUGAAAAAGAGGAAUAAGCUACAAACAAAUUAUGUUUAUGCCUCCAUAACAGUACGGUGGAUGCUCUUCGACAAAGAAAUAUUGAACUCGAAAAAGUUAAUUUUGUGGGUGCUCCUCUGCCACGUAAAGUCUACAAAAAACAAAGUAAGAAGGAGUAAACGCUCUCAUUCAAUCAUUUUGCUGGACCAAAAUCAUUUCUAUCUCAUCGAUAAGACAAGGUCGAGGUUGAGCUAUACAGAUUCGUUGUUAUCAAGUAGACUGAACUGCUCUACCCUGGGAGAGGAGUCCGAUUUCGACUAGCACUACCGCUUUAGAGUCAAAUGAUAGUGAAAAUGGCGUUUCUCCACACAAAAGGAAGGAGUUGAUUACACAAAAAAAAUUUCACCGGUGGUAAGACAUGCUUCAAUUCGAAUUCUUCUAUCACUAACUGAUGCAUAUGAUCUAGAGCUUGAGCAAAUGGACGUAAAGACCGCAUUCUUGCACGGGGACUUGGCAGAAACAAUAUACAUGGAACAUUCCAAAGGAUUCAUCUCAAAAAAAGAUGAGAAUAAGAUUCUCACCUUUGCAUGCGGAAUUGGUGGCUAUUAAGGAGGCUCAUCGCCUUGCUCUUUGGUUGGAGUUCCAUCAGAUUUGUGUGGAGUCUAAUUGUCUUGAAGCCGUAAAGCUUCUUUCUUCACAUAUGGAAAUUUUGGGAGAGACAGAGGUUUUGGUUGCCGAAAUUCGUGGGCUUCAAAGGAGUUUAGAGAGAGUUACUUUCAGCCAUGUGCAGAGAGAUCAAAAUACUGUAGCCAAGUGUUUGACGAAAUAUGCGUUUGUUUAUGAAGCUUAAUUGUCUUGUUUCACCAUGGCCCAUUUAGUGCUUUUGUAGCCCAAGUGGCAAGUUUUUUUUAACGAAGUUUUUUUUUUCUUUUGGAUUUCAAAAAAAAAA
Momordica charantia (bitter melon) is the source of this 1021-nucleotide long non-coding RNA. RefSeq lists it as uncharacterized. Lineage: Eukaryota; Viridiplantae; Streptophyta; Magnoliopsida; Cucurbitales; Cucurbitaceae. The record is from RefSeq and is a predicted model, not a curated record.